Molecule: ribosomal RNA, 253 nt
Filed under: uncultured bacterium
Lineage: Bacteria
Description: partial 16S ribosomal RNA
Rfam family: Bacterial small subunit ribosomal RNA
Source: RNAcentral
UACGAAGGUCCCGAGCGUUGUUCGGAAUCACUGGGCGUAAAGGGAGCGUAGGCGGUUAGGUAAGUCAGAUGUGAAAUCUCAGGGCUCAACCCUGAAACUGCAUCCGAUACUGCCUGACUAGAGUAAUGGAGGGGUAGCUGGAAUUCUCGGUGUAGCAGUGAAAUGCGUAGAUAUCGAGAGGAACACUCGUGGCGAAGGCGAGCUACUGGACAUUUACUGACGCUGAGGCUCGAAGGCUAGGGUAGCGAAAGGG